GACGAACGCUGGCGGCGUGCCUAAUACAUGCAAGUAGAACGCACAGUUUAUACCGUAGCUUGCUACACCAUACACUGUGAGUUGCGAACGGGUGAGUAACGCGUAGGUAACCUGCCUGGUAGCGGGGGAUAACUAUUGGAAACGAUAGCUAAUACCGCAUAAUAUUGAUUAUUGCAUGAUAAUUGAUUGAAAGAUGCUAUUGCAUCACUACCAGAUGGACCUGCGUUGUAUUAGCUAGUAGGUGAGGUAACGGCUCACCUAGGCGACGAUACAUAGCCGACCUGAGAGGGUGGUCGGCCACACUGGGACUGAGACACGGCCCAGACUCCUACGGGAGGCAGCAGUAGGGAAUCUUCGGCAAUGGACGAAAGUCUGACCGAGCAACGCCGCGUGAGUGAAGAAGGUUUUCGGAUCGUAAAGCUCUGUUGUAAGAGAAGAACGGGUGUGAGAGUGGAAAGUUCACACUGUGACGGUAUCUUACCAGAAAGGGACGGCUAACUACGUG
RNAcentral lists this ribosomal RNA (505 nucleotides) under uncultured bacterium. RNAcentral's name for it is "partial 16S ribosomal RNA". It matches the Rfam family "Bacterial small subunit ribosomal RNA", at positions 28 to 507 of the family's 1533-position model. The record is from RNAcentral.